UCGAGGACAAGGCUGAUUUGAAGAGGGCGGGUCUGUUAAGACUCUAGCUUGGAGAGUCCUAAUUGAGAGGGACAUUCAUGUAAAAAUGUUAGGACUCUAGCUAGGAGAGUCCUAAUUGAGAGGGACAUUCUGUUAGGACUCUAGCUAGGAGAGUCCUAAUUAAGAGGGGCAUUCAUGUAGGAGGUUUUUUCUUAGAGAAGAAUUAGGAGUUGUAAGGGA
RNAcentral lists this long non-coding RNA (219 nucleotides) under Musa acuminata (dwarf banana). Its description in RNAcentral is "long non-coding RNA (MACU_LNC005315)". Lineage: Eukaryota; Viridiplantae; Streptophyta; Magnoliopsida; Zingiberales; Musaceae. The record is from RNAcentral.